RNAcentral lists this long non-coding RNA (580 nucleotides) under Zea mays. RNAcentral describes it as "long non-coding RNA (ZMAY_LNC003615)". Lineage: Eukaryota; Viridiplantae; Streptophyta; Magnoliopsida; Poales; Poaceae. The record is from RNAcentral.
GGACGUGGUUCUUAUCGAUUCGUCACCAUUCGCGUCCGCCUCAGGGGAGGCCCCGGCGGUCGGGGCAGCUGCCCUUAGCGACUCCUUGUCGGGGCAGCCGGAGGCUUCGUCCCUGCCCUUGCCUGCCCCCGCCCCUCCGCCAUCAGUCACCGUGGGGGCGGGUGGUAGCCCUAGGGUGUCGCUGCCAGCCCCGGGUUCCGCCGGCCUUCGGGAACAAGCGGUGCUGGCCGUGGUAGCCGGUGGGAGUGCGUUGCCUGUGCGGCCUGUAGGGGGCGACGAAGCAGAGGUGGAGGAGUGACAGCGAUUAGAGUUGGUCCUGCUUCGAGCUGACGCGGGCCUGGAGACCAUUGAGCGGAUGCUCAGUGGUUUCGGGGAGGCGAUCUCGAUUGCCGAGGCAUCGGUGACGGCGGACUUCAUUCCCUUUGGUCGGGUGAGUGUUUCUUCCGUCGUCGUCCUUUUCGCCAUCUUUUGCUCACGCCGGUCCUUGUCCGCUUGGUUCGCUCUCCCAGCGCCUUCUUGUGCGAUCGGAGGCUCGGGCGGAGGCGCUGCAGGCCCUUUCUUGCGCCUCGUCGGAGUCUGA